GAUGAACGCUGGCGGCGUGCUUAACACAUGCAAGUCGAACGAUGAAGCCCAGCUUGCUGGGUGGAUUAGUGGCGAACGGGUGAGUAACACGUGAGUAACCUGCCCUUAACUCUGGGAUAAGCCUGGGAAACUGGGUCUAUUACCGGAUAGGAGCGUCCACCGCAUGGUGGGUGUUGGAGAGAUUUAUCGGUUUUGGAUGGACUCGCGGCCUAUCAGCUUGUUGGUGAGGGAAUGGCUCACCAAGGCGACGACGGGUAGCCGGCCUGAGAGGGUGACCGGCCACACUGGGACUGAGACACGGCCCAGACUCCUACGGGGGGCAGCAGUGGAGAAUAUUGCACAAUGGGCGAAAGCCUGAUGCAGCGACGCCGCGUGAGGGAUGACGGCCUUCGGGUUGUAAACCUCUGUCAGUAGGGAAGAAGCGAUAGUGACGGUACCUGCAGAAGAAGCACCGGCUAACUACGUG
Molecule: ribosomal RNA, 466 nt
Filed under: uncultured bacterium
Lineage: Bacteria
Description: partial 16S ribosomal RNA
Rfam family: Bacterial small subunit ribosomal RNA
Source: RNAcentral